This 2900-nucleotide ribosomal RNA is filed under the name Klebsiella pneumoniae. RNAcentral's name for it is "bacterial LSU rRNA". It matches the Rfam family "Bacterial large subunit ribosomal RNA". Lineage: Bacteria; Pseudomonadati; Pseudomonadota; Gammaproteobacteria; Enterobacterales; Enterobacteriaceae. The record is from RNAcentral.
UUAAGCGACUAAGCGUACACGGUGGAUGCCCUGGCAGUCAGAGGCGAUGAAGGACGUGCUAAUCUGCGAAAAGCGUCGGUAAGGUGAUAUGAAACGUUAUAACCGGCGAUGUCCGAAUGGGGAAACCCAGUGCAAUUCGUUGCACUAUCGUUAACUGAAUACAUAGGUUAACGAGGCGAACCGGGGGAACUGAAACAUCUAAGUACCCCGAGGAAAAGAAAUCAACCGAGAUUCCCCCAGUAGCGGCGAGCGAACGGGGAGCAGCCCAGAGUCUGAAUCAGCUUGUGUGUUAGUGGAACGGUCUGGAAAGUCCGACGGUACAGGGUGAUAGUCCCGUACACCAAAAUGCACAGGUUGUGAACUCGAAGAGUAGGGCGGGACACGUGGUAUCCUGUCUGAAUAUGGGGGGACCAUCCUCCAAGGCUAAAUACUCCUGACUGACCGAUAGUGAACCAGUACCGUGAGGGAAAGGCGAAAAGAACCCCGGCGAGGGGAGUGAAAAAGAACCUGAAACCGUGUACGUACAAGCAGUGGGAGCACCUUCGGGUGUGACUGCGUACCUUUUGUAUAAUGGGUCAGCGACUUAUAUUCUGUAGCAAGGUUAACCGUAUAGGGGAGCCGCAGGGAAACCGAGUCUUAACUGGGCGUUAAGUUGCAGGGUAUAGACCCGAAACCCGGUGAUCUAGCCAUGGGCAGGUUGAAGGUUGGGUAACACUAACUGGAGGACCGAACCGACUAAUGUUGAAAAAUUAGCGGAUGACUUGUGGCUGGGGGUGAAAGGCCAAUCAAACCGGGAGAUAGCUGGUUCUCCCCGAAAGCUAUUUAGGUAGCGCCUCGUGAACUCAUCUUCGGGGGUAGAGCACUGUUUCGGCUAGGGGGUCAUCCCGACUUACCAACCCGAUGCAAACUACGAAUACCGAAGAAUGUUAUCACGGGAGACACACGGCGGGUGCUAACGUCCGUCGUGAAGAGGGAAACAACCCAGACCGCCAGCUAAGGUCCCAAAGUCAUGGUUAAGUGGGAAACGAUGUGGGAAGGCACAGACAGCCAGGAUGUUGGCUUAGAAGCAGCCAUCAUUUAAAGAAAGCGUAAUAGCUCACUGGUCGAGUCGGCCUGCGCGGAAGAUGUAACGGGGCUAAACCAUGCACCGAAGCUGCGGCAGCGACACUAUGUGUUGUUGGGUAGGGGAGCGUUCUGUAAGCCUGCGAAGGUGACCUGUGAGGGUUGCUGGAGGUAUCAGAAGUGCGAAUGCUGACAUAAGUAACGAUAAAGCGGGUGAAAAGCCCGCUCGCCGGAAGACCAAGGGUUCCUGUCCAACGUUAAUCGGGGCAGGGUGAGUCGACCCCUAAGGCGAGGCCGAAAGGCGUAGUCGAUGGGAAACAGGUUAAUAUUCCUGUACUUGGUGUUACUGCGAAGGGGGGACGGAGAAGGCUAUGUUAGCCGGGCGACGGUUGUCCCGGUUUAAGCAUGUAGGCUGGUUAUCCAGGCAAAUCCGGAUAAUCAAGGCUGAGGUGUGAUGACGAGGCACUACGGUGCUGAAGUAACAAAUGCCCUGCUUCCAGGAAAAGCCUCUAAGCAUCAGGUAACAUCAAAUCGUACCCCAAACCGACACAGGUGGUCAGGUAGAGAAUACCAAGGCGCUUGAGAGAACUCGGGUGAAGGAACUAGGCAAAAUGGUGCCGUAACUUCGGGAGAAGGCACGCUGGUGUGUAGGUGAAGUCCCUGCGGAUGGAGCUGAGACCAGUCGAAGAUACCAGCUGGCUGCAACUGUUUAUUAAAAACACAGCACUGUGCAAACACGAAAGUGGACGUAUACGGUGUGACGCCUGCCCGGUGCCGGAAGGUUAAUUGAUGGGGUUAUCCGUAAGGAGAAGCUCUUGAUCGAAGCCCCGGUAAACGGCGGCCGUAACUAUAACGGUCCUAAGGUAGCGAAAUUCCUUGUCGGGUAAGUUCCGACCUGCACGAAUGGCGUAAUGAUGGCCAGGCUGUCUCCACCCGAGACUCAGUGAAAUUGAACUCGCUGUGAAGAUGCAGUGUACCCGCGGCAAGACGGAAAGACCCCGUGAACCUUUACUAUAGCUUGACACUGAACAUUGAGCCUUGAUGUGUAGGAUAGGUGGGAGGCUUUGAAGCGUGGACGCCAGUCUGCGUGGAGCCAACCUUGAAAUACCACCCUUUAAUGUUUGAUGUUCUAACGUUGGCCCCUUACCGGGGUUGCGGACAGUGUCUGGUGGGUAGUUUGACUGGGGCGGUCUCCUCCCAAAGCGUAACGGAGGAGCACGAAGGUUAGCUAAUCCUGGUCGGACAUCAGGAGGUUAGUGCAAUGGCAUAAGCUAGCUUGACUGCGAGCGUGACGGCGCGAGCAGGUGCGAAAGCAGGUCAUAGUGAUCCGGUGGUUCUGAAUGGAAGGGCCAUCGCUCAACGGAUAAAAGGUACUCCGGGGAUAACAGGCUGAUACCGCCCAAGAGUUCAUAUCGACGGCGGUGUUUGGCACCUCGAUGUCGGCUCAUCACAUCCUGGGGCUGAAGUAGGUCCCAAGGGUAUGGCUGUUCGCCAUUUAAAGUGGUACGCGAGCUGGGUUUAGAACGUCGUGAGACAGUUCGGUCCCUAUCUGCCGUGGGCGCUGGAGAAUUGAGGGGGGCUGCUCCUAGUACGAGAGGACCGGAGUGGACGCAUCACUGGUGUUCGGGUUGUCAUGCCAAUGGCACUGCCCGGUAGCUAAAUGCGGAAGAGAUAAGUGCUGAAAGCAUCUAAGCACGAAACUUGCCCCGAGAUGAGUUCUCCCUGAGACUAUAAGUCUCCUGAAGGAACGUUAAAGACGAUGACGUUGAUAGGCCGGGUGUGUAAGCGCAGCGAUGCGUUGAGCUAACCGGUACUAAUGAACCGUGAGGCUUAACCUU